This is a long non-coding RNA of Lycium barbarum (goji berry), 2337 nucleotides long. RefSeq lists it as uncharacterized. The record is from RefSeq and is a predicted model, not a curated record. Lineage: Eukaryota; Viridiplantae; Streptophyta; Magnoliopsida; Solanales; Solanaceae. The transcript is spliced from 3 exons.
AUAUAAUAUAAAGCUAGGCAUAAACAAGGUGAUGUGGCACCUCUCUAUGGUCACCAUUCUUAUUUAUCUUUUUUCUCCAUUUUUUGGCUUUUUCAUUCACUCAUUCCAAUUAAUAAUUAAAAUAAAAACAAGGUUAAUUAUUAAUUAAAGGGAUAGUAGGUUACAAUCCAAACUUUACUCCCCUCAUUUUAAUAACUAAUCGUGGGUGCUAUUGCUCCCGUCCCUUUAAUUAUUUUAAUUAAUGUGUAGUAUUAAUCAAGUAGGAGCUAAAAAGACAAGAACCUAAGCCUCAUAUAUAUAACCAUAGGGUAUAGCUUCAACUGUGCAUUGUCAAAUUCUAUAGCAUAUGUAUCAUCUUGACACGUAAAGGGAUAUUGGAUCUUAAAGUUCAAUUCAAGUUCACCAAGGUUCGUAUUUUCAUUUCUACUUUGCAUAUAUAGUUACAAUUUAUCUUGUGAUAUAGAUAUAUAUAUCGUGAUAGUGGAUACUCUUCGUUGGUUAAAAUUAUAUAUGUGUCAUCUUCAAGCAUAUUCAAAUGGACCUGUUUCAAGUGCUAAAGGUAUUCCGGUGUUUUUGUCGAAAAGUUCACAUUUUAAAGUCCCAUAGUUAGUAAUUAUUUGCUAAUUUUCAGUAACUUGUAUGUCAUUUGCAUGAGCAGCGUGGCACAGAUGAUAUUUACUUAAAUGUUGGAUGUAUUUCUUCUAAGGUAAUUAUAUUCACUCGCUGAAUUCAUAAGUUUUUCCUACUCUUAUUUGUUGAAAUUUCUUUUUACAAUUCAUAAUUUUUCAAUUAAAAAUUCAGAAGUUUGAUAUUGUGUUACUUUGAAAGCUGCUUAUGGAAUUUAAUGAUUUGAAAAUAUAGGCAAAAUCUGACCUUUUAACAAGUAGUGAUGAUUUGUCUAGGAUUUGCUGUGAAAUUAACAAGAGGUUACAAAAAAGGACAUUUUUUACUAGCGUAGAUGGAUUUAACUUUUCACUAUAAAAAUAUUUGGUAUUGAUAAAAAACUUGAACUUAUUUAUGCUUUUUUAAUCUUUUGUCUAGCAAAUGAAAACAAUAUGUAUAUUGUACUGAUAAUUUACAUCAGUAGUUGAGGGAUUGUUUGUUCAUAUUUCUACUGUAAUCUAUUUAUAAUAUAAAGCUAAUGAUAGAUAAGGUGAGGUAAUACCUUUCUAUGACUAGCAUUAUUAUUUUCUUUUUUCCUCCUUUUUUGGCUUUUCUCUAAUUUUUUGGCUUUUUCUCCUAUUUCUUAUGUAUCUUUGAGACAACAUUAACUGGCUCAAUAAAUAAUAGUACUAACUAAUACUCCACUUCUUCCUGUUCCUUUCAGAUAUAUGUUACAGUAGGAUUCUAAUGUUUAUUUGCAGCAAUAAAAAUAACGGUACACCGUACCACUUAUUGCAAUUAAAUUUUCAAUGUUCAGAUUGAUGAAAUGACAAAGUCAAGAAUAACAGUUACUUACUGUAUUAUAUAAAGUCACAUGUUAUUGUCUUUAUGGUUAAAAACUGCCCAAUAGUGAAUAUUUAUGGUAGCAAAGCAAAAGGCAAUUGAAAUAUGUAACUAUAGAAUUUGAAUGACUCUUAUCAGCUUAUGAUUCAUAAUAAAUAAGAACAAUUCCAAACUGAGGCGGAUGGAGCACUAUAACUCGGGGUUCAAUUGGACCCCAAACUUUUGAUGCGGGGUAUAAAUUUAUAUGUAAAAAUUUACUAAAAUUACAAUAAAUAAUAGAUAUGAACUCAUAACUUUAGAAAUAUAAUGAUUUAGUGCUAAAAAUUUAAGAUGUUGAACCCUUAGAAUUUAAAUCCUAGAUCCGCCUCUGAUUCCAAAAGUCCUUAUAAAUACUCAUGAUUCUCCUAACACGCCAAAACUUGCUCUUUGCACUGACCACUUCAAGAUUCAUGAAGCCUUCAUUGCUUGGUGGCAAGAUUCGACCGCAACAAUAGCUAGAGAAGAAGAAACACGGAUGGUUUUUGUUGAGUGAUGCUUCAAAUUUGGAUUGUUUCCAUGAUAACAGUGUGUAUUAAAUCUUUCUGAAGAGCCGUAGACUUCCCUGUCAUCCAACACUAUAUUUUGUCACGAGUUGUUGUACACGGGAGGCGGAGAUCAAAAGCACAGUUGAAGAUUUUUUUUUUUUUUUGGUUACACAAGAUGAAGAAAUAUAGUGAUGGAAAAGGUACAUGUGUCAUAUAGCUCAUGGUUUGUACUCAAUUAUUUUGGCUUAUUUAUAUGCAAGUUAGUGAAUAUCUUGGUAUUUUUAUUAUUUGGGUAUCUUUGAGAAUGCUCAAAUUUUUCACCCUAAGUUGUGUGUUAGAACUAAUAUGUCACUAGCUAUUUUCCCUU